UUGACAUGGAUACUCUGGGAGAUCACUUUUUCAGGCUCUGUCCAGGUGGUGGGUGGGAGUGCAGGGCUCUGCUCAGUGACAUACAGUCCCUUUCCAAGGUGUCGGAGAUGAAGCCGGGCCCUGAGUCUGCGCAUGCAUAUUCUUACAGCUUCACAGAGUCCCAUGGACCGUGACUGAGGACACAAACCAUGCAGAAAACAUGC
This is a small nucleolar RNA of Erinaceus europaeus (western European hedgehog), 203 nucleotides long. Its record names the gene SNORA73. It matches the Rfam family "Small nucleolar RNA SNORA73 family". Rfam says of the family: U17 (SNORA73A and SNORA73B) also known as E1 belongs to the H/ACA class of small nucleolar RNAs (snoRNAs). Vertebrate U17 is intron-encoded and ranges in length from 200-230 nucleotides, longer than most snoRNAs. It is one of the most abundant snoRNAs in human cells and is essential for the cleavage of pre-rRNA within the 5' external transcribed spacer (ETS). NCBI's taxonomy places the organism in Eukaryota, Metazoa, Chordata, Mammalia, Eulipotyphla, Erinaceidae. The record is from Ensembl.